This 1552-nucleotide ribosomal RNA is filed under the name Salmonella enterica subsp. enterica serovar Kentucky. Its description in RNAcentral is "bacterial SSU rRNA". It matches the Rfam family "Bacterial small subunit ribosomal RNA". The record is from RNAcentral. Lineage: Bacteria; Pseudomonadati; Pseudomonadota; Gammaproteobacteria; Enterobacterales; Enterobacteriaceae.
AAAUUGAAGAGUUUGAUCAUGGCUCAGAUUGAACGCUGGCGGCAGGCCUAACACAUGCAAGUCGAACGGUAGCACAGAGAGCUUGCUCUCGGGUGACGAGUGGCGGACGGGUGAGUAAUGUCUGGGAAACUGCCCGAUGGAGGGGGAUAACUACUGGAAACGGUAGCUAAUACCGCAUAACGUCGCAAGACCAAAGUGGGGGACCUUCGGGCCUCACACCAUCGGAUGUGCCCAGAUGGGAUUAGCUAGUAGGUGGGGUAACGGCUCACCUAGGCGACGAUCCCUAGCUGGUCUGAGAGGAUGACCAGCCACACUGGAACUGAGACACGGUCCAGACUCCUACGGGAGGCAGCAGUGGGGAAUAUUGCACAAUGGGCGCAAGCCUGAUGCAGCCAUGCCGCGUGUAUGAAGAAGGCCUUCGGGUUGUAAAGUACUUUCAGCGAGGAGGAAGGCGUUGUGGUUAAUAACCACAGCGAUUGACGUUACUCGCAGAAGAAGCACCGGCUAACUCCGUGCCAGCAGCCGCGGUAAUACGGAGGGUGCAAGCGUUAAUCGGAAUUACUGGGCGUAAAGCGCACGCAGGCGGUUUGUUAAGUCAGAUGUGAAAUCCCCGGGCUCAACCUGGGAACUGCAUUUGAAACUGGCAAGCUUGAGUCUCGUAGAGGGGGGUAGAAUUCCAGGUGUAGCGGUGAAAUGCGUAGAGAUCUGGAGGAAUACCGGUGGCGAAGGCGGCCCCCUGGACAAAGACUGACGCUCAGGUGCGAAAGCGUGGGGAGCAAACAGGAUUAGAUACCCUGGUAGUCCACGCCGUAAACGAUGUCUACUUGGAGGUUGUGCCCUUGAGGCGUGGCUUCCGGAGCUAACGCGUUAAGUAGACCGCCUGGGGAGUACGGCCGCAAGGUUAAAACUCAAAUGAAUUGACGGGGGCCCGCACAAGCGGUGGAGCAUGUGGUUUAAUUCGAUGCAACGCGAAGAACCUUACCUGGUCUUGACAUCCACGGAAGUUUUCAGAGAUGAGAAUGUGCCUUCGGGAACCGUGAGACAGGUGCUGCAUGGCUGUCGUCAGCUCGUGUUGUGAAAUGUUGGGUUAAGUCCCGCAACGAGCGCAACCCUUAUCCUUUGUUGCCAGCGGUUAGGCCGGGAACUCAAAGGAGACUGCCAGUGAUAAACUGGAGGAAGGUGGGGAUGACGUCAAGUCAUCAUGGCCCUUACGACCAGGGCUACACACGUGCUACAAUGGCGCAUACAAAGAGAAGCGACCUCGCGAGAGCAAGCGGACCUCAUAAAGUGCGUCGUAGUCCGGAUUGGAGUCUGCAACUCGACUCCAUGAAGUCGGAAUCGCUAGUAAUCGUGGAUCAGAAUGCCACGGUGAAUACGUUCCCGGGCCUUGUACACACCGCCCGUCACACCAUGGGAGUGGGUUGCAAAAGAAGUAGGUAGCUUAACCUUCGGGAGGGCGCUUACCACUUUGUGAUUCAUGACUGGGGUGAAGUCGUAACAAGGUAACCGUAGGGGAACCUGCGGUUGGAUCACCUCCUUACCUUAAAGAAGC